This 406-nucleotide ribosomal RNA is filed under the name uncultured bacterium. Its description in RNAcentral is "partial 16S ribosomal RNA". It matches the Rfam family "Bacterial small subunit ribosomal RNA", at positions 29 to 526 of the family's 1533-position model. The record is from RNAcentral.
AUUGAACGCUGGCGGCAGGCCUAACACAUGCAAGUCGAACGAGUGGCGGACGGGUGAGUAAUGUCUGGGAAACUGCCUGAUGGAGGGGGAUAACUACUGGAACCGGUAGCUAAUACCGCAUACCAUCGGAUGUGCCCAGAUGGGAUUAGCUAGUAGGUGGGGUAAAGGCUAACCUAGGCGACGAUCCCUAGCUGGUCUGAGAGGAUGACCAGCAACACGGGACCUGGGACAGGGUCAGGACUCCUACGGGGGGCGCCAGAGGGGAAUAUUGCACAAUGGGCGCAGGCCUGAUGCGGCCAUGCCGCGGGUAUGAGGAAGGCCUUCGGGUUGUAAAGUACUUUCAGCGGGGAGGCGUUACCCGCAGAAGAAGCACCGGCUAACUCCGUGCCAGCCGCCGCGGUAAUUC